CACCUUUCAGCACUAUUCAUUUCACCUUAUUUUGGUAAAUAAUGUCAUAGGGAUACCAUUUUGGUAUUUAACUAAUUUUUUUGCAUUAUUAGGGUAAAAAAGCUGAAGAAAUCCUAGCCAAACAAAAUCAGGAGAAUUUCUUCGACUUUUUUACCUUGAUAAUACAAAAAAAAGUUAAAUACCAAAAUGAUAUCCCCAUGGCAUUAUUUACCAAAAUAGGUGAAAUGAACAGUGUCGAGGGGUUGUUCUUGAAGGAGUGGCGAUACCACCAUUUUUUUCCUCACCAACAUUAGGCCAUGGAUUAAAAAAAACAUAUUUAAAAGGAGGGUAGGCAUAUGGCAACACCAGUAUAUGAGUUGAAAAAAAAAUCCAAGCAUAAUACAAGCCAUUUCCAGGCUCAAAAAAAUAAUUUUAGGGCAGGAGGGUUGUUGUCAGGCAACACCUAAGGAAGGAGGGUUGAGGAGUGGCGGCACCACUGUUGGAAAUCUAAUCGCCUGUGGUGGACGUGACCGCACAGUCACGGGGUGCUUCUCACCCCCGAAACAGCUGCCCAUUUCCCUAAUUCUUUUCCCUAAAGGCAUAUAUAUAUAAGCCCUCUUGUGUUGAAAAAAAAAGUUUGGUAGUUUGGUUUUGUAGAUUUUGUGUUGGGAAGAAAGGAAGCAACAAAUAUGUUGUCUGUUUUUUUUAAUAUUAUUUUUUUAUUUACUUAAUUAGUAUAAAGAAAAUUAUUAUAUACUAAAAUGGUAUGUCCAAAAAUAUGUGAUGUUUUCUAAUUUUUAUUUGUAAUUAUUAUAUAUUUGUUUGUAUUUACACAAUUAAUAUUAAAAUUCUUUUCUAAUUUUCAAGGCU
This 849-nucleotide long non-coding RNA is filed under the name Gossypium barbadense (sea-island cotton). RNAcentral describes it as "long non-coding RNA (GBAR_LNC004752)". The record is from RNAcentral. Lineage: Eukaryota; Viridiplantae; Streptophyta; Magnoliopsida; Malvales; Malvaceae.